UGAGCCAAAACCUUGGCAAAUUGCUCAAGAUAUAGCCCAAGAGACAACCACUAGUAAAUCGGUUUACUUACUACCCUUAGAUUGCAUGCACUGACUUCAAAAUCCAAUAACUCUUCAUCCAAACUUGGAAUCCAAUAAGCAGUAUAAGAAAAGUUUAGUUGCAAAAGUACUCUUUGUAGUCGCAGUCGCCGAUCCUUAAUUGCUAUCCGUACGCAUGCAUUAUGCCAAAAAGAGUGAUAGUAGGUCCAAAACUAGUACCUUAACUUUGAGAGCCUAUAAUUUCUUCAUAAAAACCC
Molecule: long non-coding RNA, 296 nt
Filed under: Physcomitrium patens
Lineage: Eukaryota; Viridiplantae; Streptophyta; Bryopsida; Funariales; Funariaceae
Description: long non-coding RNA (PPAT_LNC014119)
Source: RNAcentral